ACUUUCUCUCUCUAGCUAUAGAUAGGCCUUUCUCUCUCACGCAUACAAUCUCAGAUCUGUAUAUGUACAGUAAAUAGAUACACGUAUGUUCAGUUUGCAUUUAUCGCGGCGGUCUCUCAUUCGCUUGGUGCAGGUCGGGACCUGCCUCGCCGGCGACAAUGACGUCAGCUGACGGUGACGGUGGCGUAUCGAUAGAUAUACAUGUUGUUUAUGACGAAAUUUUGGUCCCGCCUUGCAUCAACUGAAUCGGAGACUGCGGUGAAUUUUAAUUGUUUCAAGUAAAUCAGCUUUGUUAUGGAUCGAUCUAAUAUCUACCGAUUGUUUCCUGUGAGGUAUUGAAUUUUUCAAAUGACUUUUGAUAUUAUUUGCUUUAUUUUUGUGUUGUAUUUCGAUUGAAUUUUGCUGGAUCUAACUUUGUCUGUUGAGCAGCGUAUAACUCCAGUGAUAGAUCUAAGAGUAUUUUGCAAAUUCGAUGCCAUCAGUUAAAUGAAGAUGUUUGAUUUUAUUGAGUACAGUUAAUGUUAUGAUUUAGGUAAUCUGUAAUUAAGAAACGUGAUAGAUUGUAUUGGAAGCUUUUCUGCAUUAAUUCCCUUUUUAGGUAGAUUAGGAGGAUGAAGUAACUAAAAGAUUCGGUUUUUGUUGAAUGCUACGUUAAAACUUUGUUACACUGUACUAGAAUCGGCUUUAGAGGCGUUUAGUGCUGUUGUUUUUGCACAGAAUUUGAGUAGCACAAUAAAUUUGUUGAAAAGGAAGAGUUUUUCCCCAUUCCCAAUCCUUUUUGUUUGGUACUACUACCUAUUGCGAUGUUUGUGGGUUGUUGAACUUCAGUGUUAUAUGUGGACUGAGUGUGUAUUGAUAAGACCG
RNAcentral lists this long non-coding RNA (864 nucleotides) under Nicotiana tabacum (common tobacco). Its description in RNAcentral is "long non-coding RNA (NTAB_LNC011414)". The stretch from base 103 to 264 matches the Rfam family "MIR168 microRNA precursor family". The record is from RNAcentral. Lineage: Eukaryota; Viridiplantae; Streptophyta; Magnoliopsida; Solanales; Solanaceae.